This is a long non-coding RNA of Pseudophryne corroboree (corroboree frog), 1384 nucleotides long. RefSeq lists it as uncharacterized. NCBI's taxonomy places the organism in Eukaryota, Metazoa, Chordata, Amphibia, Anura, Myobatrachidae. The record is from RefSeq and is a predicted model, not a curated record. The transcript has 5 exons.
CACCCCCAUCCCCUGACAUGAGAAACACUGGUCCACGGCUGAGACCAUACCCCCUCCUUCCAGGCCCCGCCUCCUAAAGUCCGACACUCUCACCUGUUUAGUGAGAUCAGCAGGCAGCGCAGUACAGAGCCGUGCAGGCAGUGCAGUGGCCGACCCUCCCCUUUCCUCCAGAGUCCGGACACUCUCUCCUCACUCGGGUCCUGAGCCUGACACACACAAGCUCCGCCUCCCACACUAUACUACAGGAGGAAGGAGCUGCUGGUGAUGUGCUGCAUGAUGCCAGCCAGAGUGCACUGCAUAGUGUGAAGAUGGUGAAAACCAAAGCAUUCUAUUCUGGAGCCCGUUCACCGUCACUUCCCAAGAAAAUGUCUGCGACAAUGCCACAGAUUCUAAAGAAGAAAGCAGGAAAGGAAAAUGUUCCUGUUGUCAUAAAGGGGGAAGAACUGUGUCGAAGAAGACGCUUAGAGAAGGAACGCUUUGAGUAUUGGAACGCACAGCUGACAUGCACAGCUGUGCAUGGUUGAAGUUACAGAUAUACUAAUUGUGAGUGCACUGCAUAGUGUGAAGAUGGUGAAAACCAAAGACCAUUCUAUUCUAGAGCCCGUUCACCGUCACUUCCCAAGAAAAUGUCUGCGGGAGUACCACAGAUUCUAAAGAAGAAAGCAGGAAAGGAAAAUGUUCCUGUUGUCAAAGUAAGGAAAAAUGCAAAGGCCAAAUGCCAAUUUUUGGUGGACACAAUUGGCAAUUUAACCAAUGAAUAUUUGGUGCAAGAGAUGAAUGCUGCUGUAGAGAACACAGUUAUCUGUGAUGAAACACACACAGUGAUGGAUGUGUCAUGUACCAUAGAUGAGGACUUUCAUGACACUACACCACUCAUACAAGCAUCGCAAUCACCGACCCGUAGGAGACUUGAAUUUAAAGAUCCUAACCAAUGUGAAUGCAGCUGCACAGGGUUGGUGAGAGACCUUCUGGGCAAGGUGACUCACCUUCAAGCGCAAAUUGAUGGACUGACAGGAAAACUGGAUGGACUUUGUAGUGAUAACAGCAAGGGGGGAGUUUCAAGGCUCGUUACUGUUACAUUAUACAGUGCACUGUACAUUGUUACAGUACAUUGUACACUGUAGACUCUACAGUAGACUCUCACUACUAAAGGGGAAAAUAACACAAAACAGAACUGUAAACUAGAAAAACUUUAAUAAAACAAAAAAAAUGAAAGAAAGAAAUAUAAAUUAAAGAUUGCGUAAAAUAAUAUAAAAAAUUCUAUUCACCACCGCCCACAAAAUCAGAAGCAAUUGCCAGACUUGCUCUGUGAAAAUAAAAAUCAAUGUACAGUAUUAGGACAGUAAUACAGGUUGAGUACUGUACAGCACGUCAUCAAAGUUUA